RNAcentral lists this transfer RNA (72 nucleotides) under Ictidomys tridecemlineatus (thirteen-lined ground squirrel). RNAcentral describes it as "Spermophilus tridecemlineatus (thirteen-lined ground squirrel) tRNA". It matches the Rfam family "tRNA". From Rfam's summary of the family: Transfer RNA (tRNA) molecules are approximately 80 nucleotides in length. Their secondary structure includes four short double-helical elements and three loops (D, anti-codon, and T loops). The record is from Rfam by way of RNAcentral. Lineage: Eukaryota; Metazoa; Chordata; Mammalia; Rodentia; Sciuridae.
GAGAUUGUGGCUCAGGGGCAGAGCCCUUGCCUAGCACGCAUGAGGCCCUGGGUUCUAUCCCCAACACUGCCA